RNAcentral lists this unclassified non-coding RNA (835 nucleotides) under Hevea brasiliensis (rubber tree). The record is from RNAcentral. Lineage: Eukaryota; Viridiplantae; Streptophyta; Magnoliopsida; Malpighiales; Euphorbiaceae.
AACCACCUCAAUCUAUAUUCUCUCAACUUAUCCUCAGUUGGCACCACUCGAGUGAAGUAAGUGAAGGUAAAAUGCUACUAUGUUAAAGAAACCAAGCAACCAAAGUAAUACAGAAACAAAGCCUAAAAGCAUCAGAAAAUUAAGAAUUGCAUAAUCUAGGUGAUUAACUAAGUAAAUAAACCACCAAGUAAACAAAGACCUUAUUAAUAUCAAGGCAAGACUUUCAAUAUACAUUUAGCGUAUUUUUUUAAACGCUUCGGCAAACAGCUGCAAAAAGUGCAUUUCAUCAUUGUUUAGGUUUCACAAUCAUGAUUGAUUCGGCCAUGCCAAAGCAUUUUCUUUUGAUGUCAUGGCAAACCUGGACAGCUCAAAAAGGAAAAUUAUACAUAAAAAAUUUCCACACCCAAUUUUAACAAAAGCUACCUACACUGCUACACCAGACUAGAAGCCUUAUACUGUGACACGAAUCAAACUACCCAGUUACCUCAAAGUUUAAAAAACUGAAAUUGCAUGCAAAACAACAUAGACCAAAUUUAAACCAAUUUCCCAUUUUGUAGGUAUCUUAUUUUUAUCAAUUCAAGGAACCCAACAGCUGGAAAUUGGAAAUUUGAACCCCCUUGCAGAAGCAAAGAACAUUCACUGAAGGUUCCUAAUCCUUGCGAAUUGUGACCAGCAGCUACCCACCAAACAACCCACUAAACAAAUUCGUUUAGCCGAUAAAUAAUAUCAAUGAAAUUAAGCCAUUUUCAAGCGCAGCAAAAAACGAUAGAAUAAAUUCCGAUAUUUAAACAAUAACCAAUUAAGAAUCAGUAUAAAAAAAAAAAUUGCAUAAGCA